This 22-nucleotide microRNA is filed under the name Homo sapiens (human). Its description in RNAcentral is "hsa-miR-3133". Lineage: Eukaryota; Metazoa; Chordata; Mammalia; Primates; Hominidae. The record is from miRBase by way of RNAcentral.
UAAAGAACUCUUAAAACCCAAU